GUCUGUGGCUGUAACACCUUGAACACACCCAAUCUCAUCAGGUCUUGGAAGGCUAAGAAGGGUCAUGCCUGAAUAGCACUUAGAUAAAAGGCCUUAAAUGGAGGAACAUGCUUCAUUCACC
RNAcentral lists this ribosomal RNA (121 nucleotides) under Castor canadensis (American beaver). The record is from RNAcentral. Lineage: Eukaryota; Metazoa; Chordata; Mammalia; Rodentia; Castoridae.